AAUAAAAAUAUCUUUGGUUGGGGCAACCACGAAGAAAAAAAAACCUUCGUCCUUUUUAAAAAAUUAACAAAUUUAAAAAUUUUAACUAUAAAAACAAAAGACCCAGAAUAUACUGAGUAAAGAAAAAAGUUACCGCAGGGAUAACAGCGUUAUUCUCUUUAAGAGUCCGUAUUGACAAGAGAGUUUGCGACCUCGAUGUUGGACCGGGGCACCUUAGAGGUGCAACAACCUCUAAAAGUAGGUCUGUUCGACCUUUAAAGCCCUACGCGAUCUGAGUUCAGACCGACGCAAGUCAGGUCAGUUUCUAUCUA
This 311-nucleotide ribosomal RNA is filed under the name Promachocrinus kerguelensis. RNAcentral describes it as "partial 16S ribosomal RNA". It matches the Rfam family "Bacterial large subunit ribosomal RNA", at positions 2257 to 2643 of the family's 2925-position model. Lineage: Eukaryota; Metazoa; Echinodermata; Crinoidea; Comatulida; Antedonidae. The record is from RNAcentral.